CACUAUACAUUCCAUGACUUCCGGGCACUUCGUAAGGCUUAAAUAAGGAUGCUUUGCGUUCACUCGGCCUUUUGGAGACAAGAUUCGCGGUCGUCUCUUCGGCUUGGAUUUGUUAAGGAUUCCAAGUAACUCUUACUUGGAAAGAAGACAGUCUGCAGUUCACACUUCAGCAUUGAUGUUUAAUUUUGGGGUCCUUUAUAUAGUAGGGAGAGUAGGUAAACCGAUUUUUUUUUUAACAGGGAGGUUUGGACAGUCUUUGGCAGACUUAGCAAAAGAUUGGGGUGCGUUUCAUACCUCUUUGAGACAGUCUUCCUCUGUCGCCCAGGCUGGAAUGCAGUGCCGCAAUCUUGGCUGCAACCUCAGCCUCCCAAGUAGUUGGGAUUGCAGGCGUAAGCCGCCACACCUGGCCCUCUUUUAAGAGUCUGCUGCUGUUUUGUAUUAAAGACUGGAAUUUGGCAUUUGGUUAGGAAUGCACCUUCUUUCACCUCAUUCAUACCUUAAGAACCAGAGAAGUGACUCUGCUUGGCCUUACGCCAGAUUCCAGAAGGCACACAGUGUUGGUGGGUAUUUUAAAAGUCCUUGAGUAUUUUGCUUUUGUGUGAUUUCUAAUGUAUUUGUAAUUUACCUAACAAAUUGCUUAAUCUGCUUUGUUAAUGUAUUAAAAUAAAUAUGGCUGUACA
This is a long non-coding RNA of Cercocebus atys (sooty mangabey), 680 nucleotides long. RefSeq lists it as uncharacterized. The transcript has 3 exons. Lineage: Eukaryota; Metazoa; Chordata; Mammalia; Primates; Cercopithecidae. The record is from RefSeq and is a predicted model, not a curated record.